ACAAGCGGCGGAGCAUGCGGAUUAAUUCGAUGCAACGCGAAGAACCUUACCAAGGCUUGACAUACACCGGUAACGCCCAGAGAUGGGUGCCCCUUUGUGGUCGGUGUACAGGUGGUGCAUGGUUGUCGUCAGCUCGUGUCGUGAGAUGUUGGGUUAAGUCCCGCAACGAGCGCAACCCUCGUCCUAUGUUGCCAGCGGGUCAUGCCGGGGACUCAUGGGAGACUGCCGGGGUCAACUCGGAGGAAGGUGGGGAUGACGUCAAAUCGUCAUGCCCCUUAUGUCUUGGGCUUCACGCAUGCUACAAUGGCCGGUACAAAGGGCUGCGAUACCGCGAGGUGGAGCGAAUCCCAGAAAGCCGGUCUCAGUUCGGAUUGGGGUCUGCAACUCGACCCCAUGAAGUCGGAGUCGCUAGUAAUCGCAGAUCAGCAACGCUGCGGUGAAUACGUUCCCGGGCCUU
This 457-nucleotide ribosomal RNA is filed under the name uncultured Curtobacterium sp. RNAcentral describes it as "bacterial SSU rRNA". It matches the Rfam family "Bacterial small subunit ribosomal RNA", at positions 925 to 1382 of the family's 1533-position model. The record is from RNAcentral. Lineage: Bacteria; Bacillati; Actinomycetota; Actinomycetes; Micrococcales; Microbacteriaceae.